This 67-nucleotide transfer RNA is filed under the name Diprioninae sp. GYN-2022c. RNAcentral describes it as "tRNA-Tyr". It matches the Rfam family "tRNA". Rfam says of the family: Transfer RNA (tRNA) molecules are approximately 80 nucleotides in length. Their secondary structure includes four short double-helical elements and three loops (D, anti-codon, and T loops). Lineage: Eukaryota; Metazoa; Arthropoda; Insecta; Hymenoptera; Diprionidae. The record is from RNAcentral.
GAUAAAAUGGCUGAAUUUUAGGCGAUAAAUUGUAAAUUUAUUAAUGAAAUUGAAUUUUCUUUUAUUA